This 128-nucleotide small RNA is filed under the name Marmota monax (woodchuck). The record is from RNAcentral. Lineage: Eukaryota; Metazoa; Chordata; Mammalia; Rodentia; Sciuridae.
GCUGAGCGUGGAGGUGCACGCCUGUAAUCCUAGCAGCUCUGGAGGCUGAGGCAGGAGGAUCGCAAGUUCAAAAACCAGCCUCAGCAAUGAAGUGAGGUCCUAAGCAACUUAACGAGACCCUGUCUCUA